Molecule: long non-coding RNA, 499 nt
Organism: Agelaius phoeniceus (red-winged blackbird)
Lineage: Eukaryota; Metazoa; Chordata; Aves; Passeriformes; Icteridae
Source: RefSeq, a predicted model, not a curated record
CCAGGCCUACAAACCCUCUCUGAGACUGAAAUGUCAGCAAGGUUGUGCUGGCAUCCAAGGGAGAGCAGGAUCCCGGCACAGCCACGCUCCCCUCUGCUCUUCCCAGCCGCCUCUUUGCUGCAGUGAGGAGGAGGAGGUAAAUUAGCGCCUCCGUGGGUCUUUGCCACCCACCUCUGGAGAGAGGACUGCCAGCAGUCCUGGAGGUGGCUGUGCCUUGCAUGUGGUGCUUCCUUGCCCUGAGAGAGGACAAUGAGAGGACAACUGAGUGAGCUGGGACAAGAUGGAUUUACUCUCCACUGAGCUCCACAGCUCUUGCUCACACCCAACACGCUACAGACUCCUCAUGAGCAGCAAGACAACUUCUUUCUUUCAGCCCCUCUGCUCCUGCCUGCGCGAGAAGCUGUGUACCAGGGAAGCACUGGCUGCAUGCAGAUCGUGGAGGGCUCUCAUUUCACCACCUGACACAUAAAAGCAAAAAAUAAAGAAGUCAGAAACAUUA